This 459-nucleotide ribosomal RNA is filed under the name uncultured bacterium. RNAcentral's name for it is "bacterial SSU rRNA". It matches the Rfam family "Bacterial small subunit ribosomal RNA", at positions 340 to 789 of the family's 1533-position model. The record is from RNAcentral.
UACGGAAGGCAGCAGUGGGGAAUAUUGCACAAUGGGCGAAAGCCUGAUGCAGCUAUGCCGCGUGUAUGAAGAAGGCCUUAGGGUUGUAAAGUACUUUCAUCGGGGAGGAAAAAACAAACUAAUAAUUUUAUUUCUUGACGUUACCCGAAAAAGAAGCACCGGCUAACUCCGUGCCAGCAGCCGCGGUAAUACGGAGGGUGCUAGCGUUAAUCAGAAUUACUGGGCGUAAAGAGCACGUAGGUGGUUUUUUUAAGUCAGACGUGAAAUCCCUGGGCUUAACCUAGGAACUGCAUUUUGAAACUGAAAUACUAGAGUAUCGUAGAGGGAGGUAGAAUUCUAGGUGUAGCGGUGAAAUGCGUAGAUAUCUGGAGGAAUACCUGUGGCGAAAGCGGCCUCCUAAACGAAUACUGACACUGAGGGUGCGAAAGCGUGGGGAGCAAACAGGGAUUAGAUACCCGU